GCCGCUCUGGUGGAAUUGGUAGACACGCCAGAUUUAGGUUCUGGUGCCUUACGGUGUCCGAGUUCGAGUCUCGGGGGCGGCACCA
This 85-nucleotide transfer RNA is filed under the name Gammaproteobacteria bacterium. Its description in RNAcentral is "tRNA-Leu". Lineage: Bacteria; Pseudomonadati; Pseudomonadota; Gammaproteobacteria. The record is from RNAcentral.